GAGACACCCCUCCGGGGCAAGACUUGCUUCAAUGGGGCUUUGGUGCUCACAGAGUCUGCCCCCUGAGUGUGUCUUU
Molecule: microRNA precursor, 76 nt
Filed under: Myotis lucifugus (little brown bat)
Lineage: Eukaryota; Metazoa; Chordata; Mammalia; Chiroptera; Vespertilionidae
Description: mir-9229 microRNA precursor family
Rfam family: mir-9229 microRNA precursor family
Source: Rfam by way of RNAcentral